This is a long non-coding RNA of Gopherus flavomarginatus (Mexican gopher tortoise), 754 nucleotides long. RefSeq lists it as uncharacterized. The transcript has 4 exons. The record is from RefSeq and is a predicted model, not a curated record. Lineage: Eukaryota; Metazoa; Chordata; Testudines; Testudinidae.
CACGCUCACCCGCCCGUAGAACUUCUCCCGCAGGCGCCGUACGCUCUUCUCCAGCUACGAGAGACAGGCCCACUCUUACUGCGGCCAGCCCCGGGUGUUCCCCGGGCACCAGCGUUACCGCGGCCAGCCCCGGCGAGACCCCAGGCACCAGCGUUACCGCGGCCAGCCCCGGGCGUGUCCCUGGGCACCAGCGUUCCCGCGGCCAGCCCCGGCGAUUCCCCAGGCACCAGCGUUACCGCGGCCAGCCCCGGCGAGUCCCUGGGCCCCACCCUUACCGCGGCCAGCCCCGGGCGAGUCCCCGGGCACCAGCGUUACCGCGGCCAGCCCCGGCAAUUCCCCGGGCACCAGCGUUACCGCGGCCAGCCCCGGCGAAACCCCGGGCACCAGCGUUACCGCGGCCAGCCCCGGGCGUGUCCCUGAGCCUCACCCUUACUGUGGCCAGCCCCGGGCGAGUCCCUGGGCACCAGCGUUACCGCGGCCAGCCCCGGGCGAUCCCUGGGCGCCAGCGUUACCGUGGCCAGCCCCGGGCAAGUCCCUGGGCACCAGCGUUACUGCGGCCAGCCCCGGGCCCUUCCCCGCCUGGGCCUGGGCACCCAUCUCCUGGGCCAGGGCAGUUCCCCAGCUCCCACCCCACAGCCUGGCCCCGGUACUGCCAGCUGCAGCCCCCAACUCUCCCAGACUUCUCAGGGCCCUGCCCAGAGCCUGGCCGUCCAGGUGACGCUGCAGAGCCCAACGGCUCAGCCCUGGGGGCAAC